Long non-coding RNA from Zonotrichia albicollis (white-throated sparrow), 1573 nucleotides. Lineage: Eukaryota; Metazoa; Chordata; Aves; Passeriformes; Passerellidae. The record is from Ensembl.
AUGUACAGAGCCCUGUCGAGAGCUAGGAGGAUGCAUUUGGCUGCAGUGAAGCUGAACCUAAAAUCAUGUUCACCCCACAGAUGGACAGCCCAGGCACCACUCUUUACCACACCAAGUGGACAGCGAUUUCCAUUUGGCUGUAGAAAGCUGAUGUUUUCAGUAGUGUUAGAGCCACGGUGUAUUCAAGGUCAGAGCUGGGAACAUUCCAACAACAAAUCUCUAUCGUGGACAGCAAUCCGUGGAAAAGAAAGUGGAGCAGCUGACCUGGCUGAUUGCCAGGAUCCCCAAGACCCAGGAAAGGCCCGACUGUGGCUGAUGACACUUGGGCCCCACAGGUGUGCCAAGCCAAGCCAGGGCUUUCAGCUCUGAGACUGCCUUCCCAAAGCAGGCUCCUGGGCUCCAGGCUGCAGUCCAGCACUGGGCUUAAAUUUGUCAUUUUCCUGCCUACCUGCCCAUAUUUGGGCACAGUUAAUCCAGAAUCAUCCACCUGGGGCCAUGCUGUGAUCUCAGAAAUGCCCGUCAGGUUGUGGCCUUGACGAGCAGCACCUCAGGGGCUGAGCUCCUCCAGAGCUACCAGAGACACUGCCUGCUCCCAGGACCUGGUGCUGGCUGAUGAGCAAGUGCAAGUGGAUGAACAUUUUCCUUGUUGAACAUUCUGAGAAAGUUGCCGAGCAGAAUUGCAAUCCGGACGGGAUGUUGCUGUGACUAACACUGUGAGCCUACAAACAUUGGGCCUGACGUUGUGACCCUACAAACAUUGGUGCUAAGUGAGUCCUUCCUGAGCUGGGGGGUAUUCCCCACAAGGAUGAACCUGUAGGUUAAAGGAUUGUGCACACCUGAGCAGGCUCUGGCUCCAUGAGUGUGCGACUCUGAAUGUGCUGCACCAAAUGGAGUAGGAAUGUUGCUCUCUGAUUCCUAAAUGCACUAGAUCCGUAAGUCAGGCCUGUGAGUUACUGUCAUCCUUCUAGUAAAUUCUACAGAGUCCUUUGUUGAAUUCUUUGAAUUAGGGUAUUAAUUCAGUGCCACUAUGUUUAAGUGCUGUUAAAUCUUUAGGCCUAAAUCUUGGGUAAAGUCUGAGGCUACGUUUUGCAGGGAGGUCCAUUCUGAACCCUGUGACUCAGUGACAGGGUCUCCCUUAUCCCUUUGCAUCCUCACCCUUUCCCAUUCUCUUUCUCCUGUUCUCAGCCUCCACAUAUAUCACUUUCAUUUGAUUUUAAUUUUAGAUUGAUUGACUCUCUGCGCUUGAGCUGUGAGUAGUAGAGUGAAACAUGUCAAUGAACUGUGCUGCACCUUCACUUUUAUGUUAAACCUGAUUUGGCAAUACCUUUUCCAGUGAUUCUUCGAGCAACCUAAAAGUAUCUGUUUGUGACAAACAUUUUUAGUUAAUGAAAAUUGUUAUUAGAAUUCUGCAACCAUGGCACUUUCUCCUGGUACAUAUCCAGGUAGCCCAACUGUCGGUGAAAUACAGGAGAGGGUUAUCAAGAAGUAUGAUAAACAAAUAUGCCAUGUGCAUAUGCAAACCUCUUCUGUGUUUUAUAAUAAAAUUUGUGCUUCAUAGAUGUGUUGCCUGCUC